CCCCGCCCCUAGAGACUCCGCCUCUUGCGGCGAAGCUCUGCCCCCGUCGGCGGAGCCCCGCCCUUUCUCAAGAGACCACGCCCCUUAUCGAGCCCCUCCGCCUGGGCCCUUGGAAGCCACGCCCACCACUCUGCUCUAGGAACGCUCUCUCCCAACUUCUCGUGAUCUGGGGCUCUCAGGGACCAGGAUUGGAUCUCAGCUGUGUGACUCCAGUCUGACUCAUAGCUUCUAUAUACCUUGCUGCUAUGACUCGGGACCACACGAUGGCAAGAGGGCACUCAGAGGUGCAGAGCAGGAGAGACCCAGAGAUGCAUCAGAUACUGAAACCUGCUCGGAGAAGUUAUGGUAUGCUCCCUACAUAAGACGAGUCAAACCUGAAGGUUGAUAAUGUUGAUGCCUACUUACCUCACCACCAACCCAUCAGAAGAAUGUCCAUGAGCUGAUCACACCCUCUUUUAUUGUAAAACUUGUCACUUGGUUUGGAGGGCAGUACCCUGCUCUGUCCCCCUUUGCCUGGCAAAGCAAUAAAGCUAUCCUUUUCUAGUUCACCCCAAAUUCUGAAAUUUGAUUCUGCAUUGGUGU
This is a non-coding RNA of Odocoileus virginianus texanus, 582 nucleotides long. The record is from RefSeq and is a predicted model, not a curated record. NCBI's taxonomy places the organism in Eukaryota, Metazoa, Chordata, Mammalia, Artiodactyla, Cervidae.